UGAGGGAUGACGGCCUUCGGGUUGUAAACCUCUUUCGACAGGGACGAAGCGAAAGUGACGGUACCUGUAGAAGAAGCGCCGGCUAACUACGUGCCAGCAGCCGCGGUAAUACGUAGGGUGCGAGCGUUGUCCGGAAUUAUUGGGCGUAAAGAGCUCGUAGGCGGUUUGUCGCGUCGGUUGUGAAAACUGGGGGCUUAACUCUCAGCUUGCAGUCGAUACGGGCAGGCUUGAGUUCGGUAGGGGAGACUGGAAUUCCUGGUGUAGCGGUGAAAUGCGCAGAUAUCAGGAGGAACACCGGUGGCGAAGGCGGGUCUCUGGGCCGAUACUGACGCUGAGGAGCGAAAGCGUGGGGAGCGAACAGGAUUAGAUACCCUGGUAGUCCACGCUGUAAACGUUGGGCGCUAGGUGUGGGCAACAUUCCACGUUGUCCGUGCCGCAGCUAACGCAUUAAGUGCCCCGCCUGGGGAGUACGGCCGCAAGGCUA
This 484-nucleotide ribosomal RNA is filed under the name uncultured bacterium. Its description in RNAcentral is "bacterial SSU rRNA". It matches the Rfam family "Bacterial small subunit ribosomal RNA", at positions 402 to 896 of the family's 1533-position model. The record is from RNAcentral.